This 416-nucleotide ribosomal RNA is filed under the name uncultured bacterium. Its description in RNAcentral is "bacterial SSU rRNA". It matches the Rfam family "Bacterial small subunit ribosomal RNA", at positions 32 to 425 of the family's 1533-position model. The record is from RNAcentral.
AAUCAACGCUGGCGGCGUGCCUCAGACAUGCAAGUCGAACGCGAAAGUUCCCUUCGGGGAGCGAGUAGAGUGGCGCUCGGGUGAGUAACACGUAGGUAAUCUACCUUUGGGUGGGGAAUAACAGCCGGAAACGGCUGCUAAUACCGCAUAAUGCAGCGGCUCGACAUCGAGACAGUUGUUAAAGCGGGGGAUUCCGAAAGGAACCUCGCGCCUAAAGAGGAGCCUGCGGCAGAUUAGCUAGUUGGUAAGGUAAUGGCUUACCAAGGCUUCGAUCUGUAGCCGGCCUGAGAGGGCGGUCGGCCACACUGACACUUAAAUACGGGUCAGACUCCUACGGGAGGCAGCAGUCGGGAAUCUUGCGCAAUGGGCGAAAGCCUGACGCAGCGACGCCGCGUGAGGGAUGACGGCCUCGGUUG